GACGAACGCUGGCGGCGUGCCUAAUACAUGCAAGUCGAGCGAAGUUUUUCUGGUGCUUGCACCGGAAAAACUUAGCGGCGAACGGGUGAGUAACACGUAAAGAACCUGCCUCAUAGACUGGGACAACUAUUGGAAACGAUAGCUAAUACCGGAUAACAGCAUUAACUGCAUGGUUGAUGUUUAAAAGUUGGUUUUGCUAACACUAUGAGAUGGCUUUACGGUGCAUUAGCUAGUUGGUGGGGUAAAGGCCUACCAAGGCGACGAUGCAUAGCCGACCUGAGAGGGUGAUCGGCCACACUGGGACUGAGACACGGCCCAGACUCCUACGGGAGGCAGCAGUAGGGAAUCUUCCGCAAUGGGCGAAAGCCUGACGGAGCAACGCCGCGUGAGUGAAGAAGGAUUUCGGUUCGUAAAGCUCUGUUGUUAGGGAAGAAUGAUUGUGUAGUAACUAUACACAGUAGAGACGGUACCUAACCAGAAAGCCACGGCUAACUACGUG
RNAcentral lists this ribosomal RNA (499 nucleotides) under uncultured bacterium. Its description in RNAcentral is "partial 16S ribosomal RNA". It matches the Rfam family "Bacterial small subunit ribosomal RNA", at positions 28 to 507 of the family's 1533-position model. The record is from RNAcentral.